GAUGAAGAACGUAGCGAAAUGCGAUACGUAAUGUGAAUUGCAGAAUUCAGUGAAUCAUCGAAUCUUUGAACGCACAUUGCGCCCCCUGGUAUUCCGGGGGGCAUGCCUGUCCGAGCGUCAUUACAACCCUCAAGCUCUGCUUGGUGUUGGGCCCCGCCGCCCCGGCGGGCCCUAAAGUCAGUGGCGGUGCCAUCCGGCUCCGAGCGUAGUAAUUCUUCUCGCUCUGGAGGUCCGGUUGUGUGCUUGCCAUCAACCCCCAAUUUUUUUCAGGUUGACCUCGGAUCAGGUAGGGAUACCCGCUGAACUUAAGCAUAUCAAUAAGCGGAGGA
This 329-nucleotide unclassified non-coding RNA is filed under the name soil metagenome. RNAcentral describes it as "partial contains 5.8S ribosomal RNA, internal transcribed spacer 2, and large subunit ribosomal RNA". The stretch from base 1 to 120 matches the Rfam family "5.8S ribosomal RNA", at positions 35 to 154 of the family's 154-position model. The record is from RNAcentral.